Molecule: long non-coding RNA, 357 nt
Filed under: Brassica napus (rape)
Lineage: Eukaryota; Viridiplantae; Streptophyta; Magnoliopsida; Brassicales; Brassicaceae
Description: long non-coding RNA (BNAP_LNC013580)
Source: RNAcentral
AGAUGGUAUUUCAAAAAACAAGUAGUUUCGUCUUCACGCCAAAAAGUGAUCAGUUUUUAAAAUGAGAGAAAUGGAUUUCGAAACCCAGCUUUCAUGUGGCAUGUCUCUUCGUUUUGCUUUGGUAACACCUCCUUAACAGUCAAUUUCAAUUUGAUGGAUCAGCUUGAUGUUGAUGUGCGAAUGGUUAAUCUGUUAAACAUGUGAUCAGAUCAGUCUUUUUAUCAGGGUAUUGCGGAUGUAUUGAGCUCGUGUAUCUUAGCUCAUCUUUAUCUCUAAACCCCGUUAAGGGUUUCUUAUUUUCUUAUUUUUAUUUUUUUUUAAUUAAAAAAAAAAAAUUUAAAAGCGCACCAAUCGCAG